GAUGAACGCUAGCUACAGGCUUAACACAUGCAAGUCGAGGGGCAUCAGGAAGAAAGCUUGCUUUCUUUGCUGGCGACCGGCGCACGGGUGAGUAACACGUAUCCAACCUGCCCUUUACUCGGGGAUAGCCUUUCGAAAGAAAGAUUAAUACCCGAUGGUAUAAUUAUUCCGCAUGGUUUGAUUAUUAAAGGAUUCCGGUAAAGGAUGGGGAUGCGUUCCAUUAGGUUGUUGGUGAGGUAACGGCUCACCAAGCCUUCGAUGGAUAGGGGUUCUGAGAGGAAGGUCCCCCACAUUGGAACUGAGACACGGUCCAAACUCCUACGGGAGGCAGCAGUGAGGAAUAUUGGUCAAUGGGCGCUAGCCUGAACCAGCCAAGUAGCGUGAAGGAUGAAGGCUCUAUGGGUCGUAAACUUCUUUUAUAUUAGAAUAAAGUGCAGUAUGUAUACUGUUUUGUAUGUAUAAUAUGAAUAAGGAUCGGCUAACUCCGUGCCAGCAGCCGCGGUAAUACGGAGGAUCCGAGCGUUAUCCGGAUUUAUUGNGUUUAAAGGGAGCGUNNUGGACUGGUAAGUCAGUUGUGAAAGUUUGCGGCUCAACCGUAAAAUUGCAGUUGAUACUGUCAGUCUUGAG
Molecule: ribosomal RNA, 627 nt
Filed under: uncultured bacterium
Lineage: Bacteria
Description: bacterial SSU rRNA
Rfam family: Bacterial small subunit ribosomal RNA
Source: RNAcentral